CCUACGGGGGGCAGCAGUGGGGAAUAUUGGACAAUGGGGGCAACCCUGAUCCAGCCAUGCCGCGUGUGUGAAGAAGGCCCUCGGGUUGUAAAGCACUUUCAGUGAGGAAGAACGCCUGGUGGUUAAUACCCAUCAGGAAAGACAUCACUCACAGAAGAAGCACCGACUAACUCCGUGCCAGCAGCCGCGGUAAUACGGAGGGUGCGAGCGUUAAUCGGAAUUACUGGGCGUAAAGCGCGCGUAGGUGGCUUGAUAAGCCGGUUGUGAAAGCCCCGGGCUCAACCUGGGAACGGCAUCCGGAACUGUCAAGCUAGAGUGCAGGAGAGGAAGGUAGAAUUCCCGGUGUAGCGGUGAAAUGCGUAGAGAUCGGGAGGAAUACCAGUGGCGAAGGCGGCCUUCUGGACUGACACUGACACUGAGGUGCGAAAGCGUGGGUAGCAAACAGGAUUAGAUACCCUAGUAGUC
RNAcentral lists this ribosomal RNA (465 nucleotides) under Vreelandella stevensii. Its description in RNAcentral is "partial 16S ribosomal RNA". It matches the Rfam family "Bacterial small subunit ribosomal RNA", at positions 338 to 795 of the family's 1533-position model. The record is from RNAcentral. Lineage: Bacteria; Pseudomonadati; Pseudomonadota; Gammaproteobacteria; Oceanospirillales; Halomonadaceae.